AUGACUCUCAUCAACUGGAACUUCCGUGGGAUUGGGCAAGCCCAGACAGUUCAAGAACUUGUGGGCCUUGUCCACACCCACAAGCCCAAGCUGGUGUUCUUAUCUGAGAAUCGGAAGAGCGAUGAGUACGUGAAUAAUCUGAGAUGGAGGUUAGGUCUCCGUCAUUGUAUCCUGCAUGCCGGCACCGGAAAGAGUGCGGGUAUUGCGUUGUUCUACUAUGAAAGUGUUGAAAUAAAAAAGAUCGUUGUUGGCCCAAGGUAUAUUGAUGUAUUGAUUUGCUUGAGCCCCAAUGGAGUGCAGGGGAGAGGUACCUUCAUUUAUGGUGAGCCGAAAGCACAUGAGAGACACCACAUGUGGGAACUUUUGAUGAGAAUUAGAUGCAAUGCCUCUGAACCAUAG
Molecule: ribosomal RNA, 399 nt
Filed under: Triticum aestivum (bread wheat)
Lineage: Eukaryota; Viridiplantae; Streptophyta; Magnoliopsida; Poales; Poaceae
Description: partial small subunit ribosomal RNA
Source: RNAcentral